RNAcentral lists this ribosomal RNA (253 nucleotides) under uncultured bacterium. RNAcentral describes it as "partial 16S ribosomal RNA". It matches the Rfam family "Bacterial small subunit ribosomal RNA", at positions 524 to 776 of the family's 1533-position model. The record is from RNAcentral.
UACGUAGGGUGCGAGCGUUAAUCGGAAUUACUGGGCGUAAAGCGUGCGCAGGCGGUUCGGUGUGUCCGAUGUGAAAGCCCCGGGCUUAACCUGGGAAUGGCAUUGGAAACUGGCGGGCUUGAGUGCGGCAGAGGGGGGUGGAAUUCCGCGUGUAGCAGUGAAAUGCGUAGAGAUGCGGAGGAACACCGAUGGCGAAGGCAGCCCCCUGGGGCGACACUGACGCUCAGGCACGAAAGCGUGGGGAGCAAACAGG